UUACCUCAAAUGAAUAUAACCUGUAUAACCUCUGAAUAUGGCAUGAGGGUCUCUACCAGGAACCUUAAAAUCCUGAUUACAGAAAAUGAACGGUUCAUU
This 99-nucleotide non-coding RNA is filed under the name Alkalihalobacillus pseudalcaliphilus. Its description in RNAcentral is "Bacillus pseudalcaliphilus Guanine sequence". It matches the Rfam family "Purine riboswitch aptamer". Rfam says of the family: Riboswitches are metabolite binding domains within certain messenger RNAs that serve as precision sensors for their corresponding targets. Allosteric rearrangement of mRNA structure is mediated by ligand binding, and this results in modulation of gene expression. Lineage: Bacteria; Bacillati; Bacillota; Bacilli; Caryophanales; Bacillaceae. The record is from RNAcentral.